Molecule: unclassified non-coding RNA, 219 nt
Filed under: uncultured fungus
Lineage: Eukaryota; Fungi
Description: sequence contains ITS1
Source: RNAcentral
GUAUUUAAAUGCUGUUAAGCGUUUGAACAUUCCAAUAAAAUAAAGUGUAUGUGUAUAUCAAAGAGGACUUUUGACUCCUCUUAACAAAGAGCCUACUAAUCCUCUUCAAAAAAGUGCACAGGUGUAUAAAGGAUGAGAGGGCAAGCACAUGCAAAAUUAAUUACCAGCUCAACCCUCAAAGGUUCAUUAAUGAUCCUUCCGCAGGUUCACCUACGGAAA